UACGUAGGGUGCAAGCGUUGUCCGGAAUUAUUGGGCGUAAAGAGCUCGUAGGCGGUCUGUCGCGUCGGCUGUGAAAACUCAGGGCUUAACCCUGAGCCUGCAGUGGGUACGGGCAGACUAGAGUGUGGUAGGGGAGAUCGGAAUUCCUGGUGUAGCGGUGGAAUGCGCAGAUAUCAGGAGGAACACCGGUGGCGAAGGCGGAUCUCUGGGCCAUAACUGACGCUGAGGAGCGAAAGCAUGGGGAGCGAACAGG
Molecule: ribosomal RNA, 253 nt
Filed under: uncultured bacterium
Lineage: Bacteria
Description: partial 16S ribosomal RNA
Rfam family: Bacterial small subunit ribosomal RNA
Source: RNAcentral